This 709-nucleotide long non-coding RNA is filed under the name Sus scrofa (pig). RNAcentral describes it as "lncRNA (ENSSSCG00005021319.1)". The record is from RNAcentral. Lineage: Eukaryota; Metazoa; Chordata; Mammalia; Artiodactyla; Suidae.
GAAGUCCCUGGCGGCCUCCCAAACCCAACCCACUAAGCCAUCACCCCAAACCCUGCACCUGCCCUGCCUCCUCCGCUGAUCUGCCCCCACUCAGUCCCGGCCGUGCUGGGACGAGUGGGCUCAAGCUGCCCACAGGAAGGCCUGGCUGCCCACAGGGGCCCCUCUGCAGCAGCCCCCCUGCAGCCCUCCACGCACCUCCCUCGGGGCCAUGGGUGCACCCCCCCCACCAGGAGACCGAGCAGGGGGAGAGACCAGCCCCAGUGCUGUAUGAGCCCUUCUGGCUCCCUGCUCUGCUCAGGCUCCUUCGGCCAAAUCCAUGUGUUUGCUGGUACGUGGUGCCCACGGACUCAGAGACAUCGGCGAUUUGAAAUGGAGUCACUCAGCCCUUUGCAUCGACGAGGUGACAGAAGGGACAAAGGUAAGAUCUGCGAAUUUAUGAAGCUUCUUGGCUCAGGGGCUUGGGCAGGUGGACAGGCCAGCGGCUGGGAGGGAGGGGGGCGUGGGGUGGGGGUCCUGCUGGGCCCCGCCCCCGCCCAGCUCAGGCCCCGCCCUCCAAGUGCUCUCAGAAGACCUGGCGGCACAGCUGUUCCUCUCCCGUCUGCGUUUAUCGUUUCCUCUCACUUAAAUCAUAGCUCUUGAGUCCUACUACGUGCUAAGGGCACACACACUGGGACACCCGGUGCUCUGGAGCUUUGCCGACAUCUCCGAC